GACGAACGUUGGCGGCGUGCUUAAUACAUGCAAGUCAACUGAAGCAGUGGUAGCAAUAUCGCUGUGGAGGUGGCGCACGGGUGAGUAACACGUAGGUAAUCUGCCUUCAGGUCUGGCAUAACUCCGGGAAACCGGGGCUAAUAGCAGAUGAUGCAGCGGCUCGACAUCGAGACAGUUGUUAAAGCUAUGGCGCCUGAAGAUGAGCCUGCGUCUGAUUAGCUAGUUGGCGGGGUAACGGCCCACCAAGGCAACGAUCAGUAGCUGGUCCGAGAGGAUGAUCAGCCACACUGGAACUGAGACACGGUCCAGACUCCUACGGGAGGCAGCAGUAAGGAAUAUUGCUCAAUGGGAGAAAUCCUGAAGCAGCAACGCCGCGUGAGGGACGAAGGGCUUUUGCUUGUAAACCUCUGUAGUGAGAGAAAAAAAUCCCAAUCUUUGGGACAUGAUGGUAUCUCAAAAGUAAGCCCCGGCUAACUACGUG
RNAcentral lists this ribosomal RNA (481 nucleotides) under uncultured bacterium. RNAcentral's name for it is "partial 16S ribosomal RNA". It matches the Rfam family "Bacterial small subunit ribosomal RNA", at positions 28 to 507 of the family's 1533-position model. The record is from RNAcentral.